Molecule: ribosomal RNA, 668 nt
Filed under: Pseudomonas putida
Lineage: Bacteria; Pseudomonadati; Pseudomonadota; Gammaproteobacteria; Pseudomonadales; Pseudomonadaceae
Description: bacterial SSU rRNA
Rfam family: Bacterial small subunit ribosomal RNA
Source: RNAcentral
UAGAGUUUGAUCCUGGCUCAGAUUGAACGCUGGCGGCAGGCCUAACACAUGCAAGUCGAGCGGAUGACGGGAGCUUGCUCCUUGAUUCAGCGGCGGACGGGUGAGUAAUGCCUAGGAAUCUGCCUGGUAGUGGGGGACAACGUUCCGAAAGGGGCGCUAAUACCGCAUACGUCCUACGGGAGAAAGUGGGGGAUCUUCGGACCUCACGCUAUCAGAUGAGCCUAGGUCGGAUUAGCUAGUUGGUGAGGUAAUGGCUCACCAAGGCGACGAUCCGUAACUGGUCUGAGAGGAUGAUCAGUCACACUGGAACUGAGACACGGUCCAGACUCCUACGGGAGGCAGCAGUGGGGAAUAUUGGACAAUGGGCGAAAGCCUGAUCCAGCCAUGCCGCGUGUGUGAAGAAGGUCCUCGGAUUGUAAAGCACUUUAAGUUGGGAGGAAGGGCAGUAAGUUAAUACCUUGCUGUUUUGACGUUACCGACAGAAUAAGCACCGGCUAACUCUGUGCCAGCAGCCGCGGUAAUACAGAGGGUGCAAGCGUUAAUCGGAAUUACUGGGCGUAAAGCGCGCGUAGGUGGUUCGUUAAGUUGGAUGUGAAAGCCCCGGGCUCAACCUGGGAACUGCAUCCAAAACUGGCGAGCUAGAGUAUGGUAGAGGGUGGGUGGGAAUU